Long non-coding RNA from Tachysurus vachellii, 446 nucleotides. RefSeq lists it as uncharacterized. Lineage: Eukaryota; Metazoa; Chordata; Actinopteri; Siluriformes; Bagridae. The transcript is spliced from 4 exons. The record is from RefSeq and is a predicted model, not a curated record.
GUCGGCGUUUUAAAUUCGCCUUUUUAGGCAACUUGGAUCAGAAACUGUAUGGCAUCAUUAACUUUAGAUGAAAAGUGAAACACACUAACAUGCUGGUUAAGGUGAAACUUGGGGAUGCCCAAAAAUUUGUCAAGAUAACCGAGCUGAGCCUGGAGGAAUUUUUGUCUGCUGCAUUUUUAAAGUUUGGUGUCCCAGCUGUACCCGAGAAUGUGAAGGUUUUUGAUGAGUCAGGGACUGAGGUGAGUCAUGAUGUUUUUGAGGAUGUAGUCAUAGAGCCCUCAGUUGGAGUUCUUACCAUAAAACAUGGUGCAGACUUAGAUUCUGCCUCUCCACAAGCCUCUCAUGGACAGUCAAAUCUGUCCCUGUCUUCAUCCAUUGACUCCAGUGACACACAGGAUACAGUCAUUAUUGAACAAAGCUCCUCCAGGAAACGAAUGAGGCUAGAC